RNAcentral lists this ribosomal RNA (253 nucleotides) under uncultured bacterium. Its description in RNAcentral is "partial 16S ribosomal RNA". It matches the Rfam family "Bacterial small subunit ribosomal RNA", at positions 524 to 776 of the family's 1533-position model. The record is from RNAcentral.
UACGUAGGGAGCAAGCGUUGUUCGGAUUUACUGGGCGUAAAGGGCGCGUAGGCGGCCCGGUAAGUCCGCUGUGAAAGUCGGGGGCUCAACCCUCGAAUGCCGGUGGAUACUGUCGGGCUAGAGUGCGGGAGAGGCGAGUGGAAUUCCUGGUGUAGCGGUGAAAUGCGCAGAUAUCAGGAGGAACACCAAUUGCGAAGGCAGCUCGCUGGAACGUAACUGACGCUGAGACGCGAAAGCGUGGGGAGCAAACAGG